Molecule: ribosomal RNA, 265 nt
Filed under: uncultured bacterium
Lineage: Bacteria
Description: partial 16S ribosomal RNA
Rfam family: Bacterial small subunit ribosomal RNA
Source: RNAcentral
GGCGACCGGCGCACGGGUGCGUAACGCGUAUGUAACCUACCUAUAACAGGGGCAUAACACUGAGAAAUUGGUACUAAUUCCCCAUAAUAUUCGGAGAGGCAUCUCUCCGGGUUGAAAACUCCGGUGGUUAUAGAUGGACAUGCGUUGUAUUAGCUAGUUGGUGAGGUAACGGCUCACCAAGGCAACGAUACAUAGGGGGACUGAGAGGUUAACCCCCCCACACUGGUACUGAGACACGGACCAGACUCCUACGGGAGGCAGCAUG